Molecule: long non-coding RNA, 7037 nt
Organism: Mirounga angustirostris (Northern elephant seal)
Lineage: Eukaryota; Metazoa; Chordata; Mammalia; Carnivora; Phocidae
Exons: 3
Source: RefSeq, a predicted model, not a curated record
GACCAGCUGUAGCCCUCAAUCUAUAUGGCCCACACUGCCAGCCCACACCGUGAGACCCACAUGGCUUAGAUUUUCAAAACUGUAAUUUCUGCUCAUGGCUGAUGGAUGACCAGCCUGAUAGACUUCUAACACAGGGAGCGAAGGAACUGCCCUCCAACAAUCUCUAAAGAAAAAAGUUACAUCCACAGGAGGUAUUAUUUUUCUGCAUUAUUUUCGUGUCACUCUAGAAAAAUCUCAAAGUGCACAAAAUCUCCAAUUCCAUGCUCUUAGACCACAGUCACUUUAGGAAGGUUUGCCAAGUCUUAUCUCUUUCUCAUUUUUUUUUUUUCUGUAAGAACCCAUCUUAUAAUUGGCUUCCUUGACCCAGAAAUAAUUCUGGAGCAUCUAAAGCUUAGUGUCGGUCAGCUCGGCUCUUGGCUACUCUGAAUUCACUAACUCUAGGCCUCUGGAGUUUCUUGACAAAAUUGGCUCAGAUCACAUUUUCCUGGAUAGCUUAAUUUCAAAUGAACUUUGUCCAACACUAAGGUUAUUCCAGGAGUUUACAAUGGCCCUAGGAAGACUCCAGCCUGCUGCAUGAAAGCUGCAUGGUUGAAUGAGUGCUAGGGAUAGCAGGUGACACCUGCCCAACACCGCCAACCUAUAUUGUUCCCUCCCCAACUUCUCUGUGAACUUUCUCUCCUGAUACUUUUUUCCUGCUGAGAAGCUUCCAAAAUUUUCUCCUCAUAGUAGUCAAAACAUCCACCACCAAACAGAAUUACCCCGCUAGAUGAAACAGGCUAUAGAACCAGAAGAUUCUAUACUGUGGGAAGAUCAUUCAAGUCACUUCCCUCUAACUCUGAAUCCUGAUUUUCAGGUCCAAGAACAAUGAAAACAACAAGAACACACAAUAAUAACAAUGUCAGACACGUGCCAGAUGCGUGCCAUGUAUUAUCUCUAACGCUUGAAAUAGUCCCGCAAGCAUUUCCAAACAGGAACAUGAGGCCCACAAAGACUGAACAACUUGGUCAAGGGCAUACACAAUCAGGAACGGGCAGUGCUAGAUUCAUACUCGGGAAUGUCUGUGUCUAAAGCUGAUGCUUUUUCUUCUAAAAUAUUCUGUUGCCCCCAAUUAUGGAAACUGUUCUUAGGAAAAACUUUGCACAUUAGUUUGCCAAAGAGAGGUUGUUCUGGUUGUAAUUCCUGCCUAUAUAAAAAACUGUGAGUUUGGUUCAUGCCUCAGUCAAGUAUCUUUUCAAUCCCCUAGCUGAAUUAAAGCUUCCUGCUUUGAGUUAAUAGUAUAAAAAUCAUACUCCUAAACAUAUAAUUUUGUUUCCUUUAGCCCUUAGCCCGUGCCCCUUUCUUGAUAGAGCACCCAGCCAAGUGGGCCUUUGAAUCUGUUUCUAAUAAAGGAGGCUGAUUCUGCACCUUUUAUUUUAAAGAGGAAGAUAAAGGAAGGUUGUCUGUCACUGAUUUGUCUCAAGGCAUGUAACAGCAAGACAUCUUGGUAGAGCUGAGGCUUAGCCCUCGGGCCACUGCAUUGAUUGUUAUUUCUUCUGAUGUCCACACCUCUUCGCAGGCUUCCAGAGCGGGGCUGGGAUAUUGCAGAAUAUCAUGGACGUAACCAUCUGCACUACUGAAAGGAAUAUGCUCCAAACAGUCUGCUCAUUGCUGCAGAAAGAAAUAUCAUAUGAGAGACCAACUCUUGGUCUCCGUUUCCUCAUUUAUAAAGCAGUUGGCAAAAUUUUCAAAACUACAGGUUUCUUUUAUGAAAGAAAAUCCUAUGCAGAAACCCCGAAACUGAUAGAACGGGAAACACUGUGGCUGAAACACAGGGUUGGAAAGCACCACCAGGGGCCUCACCUGGAGUCUUCCCUAUUCCUCGCCCUGAGUUGCCUUUGGGGCACUUGCCUAAGAAGCUCUCCAAGACACAGCGUGACAACGACUGGAUGAGAUUUUCUUGAGGCCCGUCUCCAGCUCUGGCAUUCAAGGAUCUGUGGAUUCCCUUCCUCCAUGCGUCUGUCACAUCAGGGGCACGGAAAGGCGUUGUCCCCUCCUGUAGCCAUUGAUCCCUCUCAGCCCACACUGGCGACGCUCCUACGAUUCUGGAGGGUUGAUGUUAGCUUCUCUCCUACUCCCACGCCUCUGGACCUUGUGAGUUCAGGGCAGGAGCCCGUCCCAUUGCCUCGAUUUCCCCAGGCACUGCUAUUCCCGACUCGCUCUCAGAAACUUCGCGAAACAGUUAUCUUGCUUCUCAUUGCAUACAAAGGUCAGGACAUUCCACGUUCUUCAACGGUUUUCAAGAAAUAUUUCAGCACAUUCGACUCUGGAUGUCUCGGGGAGGAAGAAAAGUGUUACACAUUCACUUCCUUGUAGAGCUAGAGACCCUUUGUAGAGGAAGCAAGCCAAUGGUGAUGACUUGAAGAUAAAUCUUCAAGGAAAAAUCAUGAGAAGAAUGCUGGGGAUAUUUCUUGGUUUGGAUACCAGGGGGUAGAAGAGGAUGUGGAACUGAGGAAAACAAGUUAAAGAUGAGCAUGUGUCAACUCGUGGAGAGGCCUUCUUGAAAGACAGAUUCCCUGGCCCCAGCCCCGAAGUUUCUGAUUCAGUAAGUCAGGGGGAGAGUAGGGGAUUUUGCAUUUUCUAAGUUCUCUGGUAAUGUUGCUGUUGCUGUUCAGGGAGCCUCACCCAUUAAGGAUUGUAAAAGGAGCCUUUCAGAUGAAGCCUGGAUCUGGGGAAAAUCCUCCUUGCCCUGGGGCUUUUUGACAGGUGUUCACGUGAAAUGCAGGCCACAGUAGUUUUCUUUUUGCUGGCAAAGUCAGACGUGUGCUCCUGACCUGAGGGUUGGAGAAGAGAUGUUGGCUGCUCUCCAGAGGAAAAAACAACAACUUUGCACUUUGAAGGAAUGUUUAUUAAUCCUCAUUAUACCAGCAGUUCUUCUUGUAGUGGGAAUAAGGAGCUAAAGGUGUAACUCAUUUCAUUAAUUAGACAAUCUUUUUCAGUCACAAAAGUGUUUUAUUACUCUUUCUUCCUUUCUCACCCUACCCAUCAGUCCUGUUGAACAUUUCCUAAUAUGCACAGACAUACAUACAUAGAUGUAAACACACAGACAGACACACAUACACAUACACACACACACUUCCAGUCCCUUCUACCUGUAGACGGAGGUUUGACUUCAUGUAGCUACUAAGACAUCAGCCUUCAUUGUAGCCAAGUAAAUGCAUUAGGAACACGAAAUUAUCUUGCUUAAUUUAGUUGUCUCCUAUAGGAUAGCUUGCCUAAUAAGUAUGGUUUUUCCUGCAGUUUAGGCUGAGUCUGUGAAUUUAUUGAAUCCAAUUGCUCUUGCUGCCUUCCGAUCUCUCUUUGUUGCUUCUGAAUUAAAAUUCUGUGUUAGCUACAGCCCGGUAUUUCUGCAAACUGCAGGAGGUGUGCAUUUUCCUUGUGUGUUAUUGUUAUUAUGAUAUUAAUUAUACUACACUCAACUGAAUGUCAGCAGUGUCCCAGGAAAUGUACUGAGCAAAGAUUUUGAAAAGGUCCCUGCCUAGGGAUUAUGUAAAAGCCAUUCAAGUAGAAUUGAAUUAACAUAUGACUUAGUUUAGUGUGGCUGAACUUGAAUAUUGAUUGAUUCUUUGGAUGAGAAGUGAGUUUGUGGGAAAGUAAAAGAAAUGAACUCUAGAAAUUUUAGGAUCUAGUUUUCUGUCACAUCCCAUGAUUUGAAGUAAGAACUGGGUUGCAUCUGCAGCAGAUAAUUUGUGCUUAUCCUUCUAUUUCUUGGAGUUGAAAUAGUAGGAUGCAUGGACUCAAAUUGGCAGUAGGGGAGUGGGAAUGAUGUCUGAUGUCUUCAUCACACCAUUUUUCAGACCAACUGUGCUCUAGCUUCUUAGCUUUAAAUUCUUCAUUUUGUUUUUCUGUUACAGGUGGAUGAGAGUAACGUUUUGUUUCAUGUUAAAAAAGGUUGUAUAUUUUCUCUAUUUUCCUGGGCCACUUCUCCCACCUUGUUUAAAUUUUUUUUUUACUGAAGUUUAUUAUAUGUGAAUGAAGUACAUAAAGUGCAUUAAUUAAAAAUGCAUGGAUUGAUCUAUUUUUCCUGUCUACACCUAUAUAAUACCUGGCUCAAGACAGACUAUUCUCAUACCAAAGAAUUUUCCUCAUUUUUCAGUCAAUACCUCCCCCAAAAGUAAUCACUACUCUGAUUUCUAUGUUCUAACAUCUUGAAUUAGAUUUGCAUGCUCUUGAACUUAAUAUAAAUAGCACCAUAUAGUGUACUUUUUGUGUCUGGUUUCUUCUGAUCACUAUAAUGUCUGGGAAAGUAUGUGGUUGCAUGUCUGUGGUUGUAAUCUAUUUUUUAUUUCUGUGUAAUAUUCUGUUUUAUGAGCACAUACAAUUCAUUUCCUCAUUUUUUUAUUAUUGGAUAUGGGUUGUUUCCAGUUUGGGCUGUUAUGACGAAAGCUGCCAUCAAUAUUUUUAUACGUGUGUUUUGGUGGUCACAUGAAAUAAUUAUUCUUGAAUCAUGGAAUCAGCAUAUGAUUAGCUCUAAUUUGUAAUGGCCAUAUUCCAAAUUAUUUUAUUAAUUUAUACUUCCUCCAGCAAUGUUUCAGAGUUCCAGUUGUUCCACAUUCUCAUCCGUGUUUGGUAUUGUAAGUCUUCAAAAUGUUAGCUAUUCUUGUGGGCAUGCAUUAGUAUCUCAUUGCCAACCUAGUUUUUUUUUUUUUAAUCAAUUAAUGAAACUUCUAGAUUAAAUGAAAAAGAAUUCUUAAGGUUGUUUAGAAAAUGUCAGUUUAAUCAGCUGUCAAUAUUUUAAAGCCACGAGAGACAUCUACACAGUUAUUAACUAGUCAGGUUCAGUGACAAAUGGUGAGCUGAGAUUCACACAAGAAAUUAUUAUUAUUAAAUGCAUGCUAGGUAACAAUUAAUUUGCUAAAGUAUUUAUUGUUGUGACUGUGAUACAGCACUAACAUUGUUUCUAAACACUCCACAGUUUGUGCUGCUUUCAGACCCUAAUGUAAUCCAGAUGUCCUCACCCGAUCUAAGUACAGUUCUUUAAUGAACUCCACAGUCUUUAGAGCCCCAAGCAUUUACUCUAAGAACAGAACCCACAAACUAAACAAGAUAAUUUUUUUUUCUGAGAAGCUGCUAUCAACAUUUUUGUACACUUUUUGGUGAUCUUAUACUCCUGGGUCAUUAACUUUUUUCAAAUAAUUUCGAAAAUUUGUCACAGGGCGCGUGGGUGGCUCAAUCGUUAAGCGUCUGCCUUCGGCUCAAGUCAUGAUCCCAGGGUCCUGGGAUCGAGCCCCACAUCAGGCUCCCUGCUCCGCGGGAAGCCUGCUUCUCCCUCUCCCAUUCCCCCUGCUUGUGUUCCAUCUCUCCCUAUAUUUCUCUCUGUCAAAUAAAUAUAUAAAAUCUUAAAAAAAAAAAAAGAAAAUUUGUCUUUGUGCCAUAAUGGGAAAGUCAAACGAUGAGGUGUUUUCUCUAUUAAUUGUUUUUGGGAAAAGGCUGUUCUUUUGUCUCCAUUGGGCCUUUUUUUUAUCCUUUUCCAGCUUACCUUUGUUCUGGGUGUCAGAGUAGGGGCUGACUAGGCCAGAGACGCUGCUGCAAUCUCACUUUCAACGAGUGGUGUUUGGAAACCCAGAUUUCUGGGUUGGAUUAGAGGCAAACAAGACUUGAAGGAAGGGGACCACAUCUCAGUUCAGGCAGUUUUGUAGUUUCUUUGUUCAAGUCUUCUGACAACUUCUUUUGAUGAACAAAUACUGAGUAGGGUGGAGCAAUAGAACAAUAAGUGAAAGAACAAUGGAAUUCUUUAAAGUGGUUUUUAAAACAUCCUUAACAAUUGUCGGAAUGACUUCUAUCUGCAGUUGAACCCAAAUGCUGAGGCCAGAGAAGAAAGGGAAUCACUGACACAGAAGAGGGAACUGCUUUAGCAGUAUGUGAUGUUGAUGAGGUCCAACACAGCAGUGUAAUAUAGUUAAUAAGUACCAAGACAAUUCAAUGGGAGAAAGAAUAGUGUUUUCAAUAAAUGUGGACAAUUGGGUAUCCACAUGCAAAAGAAUGCAGUUGGACUCCUACUUCACAACAUAUUCAAAAAUUAACUGAAAAAGGAUCAAAGACCUAAGUGUAAGAGCUAAAACUAUAAAGCUCUUAGAAUAAAACGUAACUGUAAAUCUUUGUGACUCUGACUUGCGCAAUGAUUUCUUAGAUUUGACACAAAAAGCACAAGCAACCAAAAUAAAAAUAGAUAAAUUGGACUUCAUCAAACUUUAAAACUUCUGUUCAAAGGACUCUAUAAAAAAAGUGGAAGACAACCCACAACAUGGGAAAAAAUAUUUGCAAACAUAUAUAUCUAUAAGGGACUAGUAUCCAAAAUGUAUAAUUAUUCACCUCAAUGACUAAAAUACAAAUCACCUAAUUUUUAAAAAUGGGCAAAGGAUUUGAAUAGACAUUUUCCAAAGAAGAUAUACAAAUGGGCAACAAGCACAUGAAAGGAUGAUCAACAUCAUUAGUUAUUAAAGACUACAAAUCAAAAUCACAGUGAGAUACUAUUUCAUACCUAUAACAAUGGCUAGAACUAAAAAGCCUAAUAAUAGCAAGCACUGGGAAGAAUGAAGAGAAAUAGGGACCCUCUCACAUAUUACUGAUGGGAUUGUAAAAUGACAUAGCCACUUUGGAAAAACAGUUUGGCAGUUCCUCAGAAAGUUAAACGUAGAGUUUCUAUAUGACCCAGAAAUUUCAUUCCUAGGUAUAUACCCAAGACAAUUGAGCAUCUAUCUAUACAAAAACUUAUACAUGAUAUUCAUAGCAGCAAUAUUCAUAAUAGCCAAAAAGUAUAAACCAAAUAUCCAUCAAUUGAUGAAUGAAUUUAAAAAAGUGGUAUAUCUAUGCAAUAGAAUAUUAUUCAGCCAUAAAAAUGGACAAAAAGGGGCAACCUGGGUCAGUCAGUCAGUUAUGCAUCUGCCUUAGGCUCAGAUCAUGAUCACAGGGUCCUGGGAUCAAGCCCCAAGUCAGGCUCCCUGCAUAGUGGAGAGUCUCCUUCUCCCUCUGGCCCUCCCCACUCUUGUGCUCUCUCUCUC